RNAcentral lists this ribosomal RNA (494 nucleotides) under uncultured bacterium. Its description in RNAcentral is "partial 16S ribosomal RNA". It matches the Rfam family "Bacterial small subunit ribosomal RNA", at positions 28 to 507 of the family's 1533-position model. The record is from RNAcentral.
GACGAACGCUGGCGGCGCGCUUAACACAUGCAAGUCGAACGGAAAGGCCUGCUUUCCCUUGUGGAUUGCGGGUACUCGCGUGUCGAACGGGUGAGUAACACGUGAGUUAUCUGCCCCCAACUUUUGUAUAAGCCGGGGAAACUGGGUCUAAUUCCCGAUAGGACUGCAGGGUGGGGCGUGUGGUUGAGGACGAUUUGCUAGUGGUUGGGGAUGAGCUCGCGGCCUAUCAGCUUGUUGGUGGGGUAAUGGUCUACGAAGGCGGCGACGGGUAGCCGGCCUGGGGUGGUGGGCGGGAGCAUUUGGCCUGCGACACGGGCACGAAUACUCCGGCCGGAAGCCGUCGGGAAUAAGGCGCGAUGGGCGGAAGCCUGAUGGCGCGACGCUGAGUGGGCGAUGACGGCCUUCGGGUUGUAAACUUCUUUCGAUAGCGCGCAAGCCCCUUGGUUGGAACGGGGGUGACGGUAGUGGUAGAAGAAGCACCGGCUAACUACGUG